Non-coding RNA from Xylaria sp. FL1777, 133 nucleotides. Lineage: Eukaryota; Fungi; Ascomycota; Sordariomycetes; Xylariales; Xylariaceae. The record is from the annotation of a GenBank genome assembly.
GCCCGGUUAGCUCAAUCGGUAGAGCGUGAGACUCUUAAUCUCAAGGUUGCGGGUGAGUAACACAUCUCCUUCACAACAUAAAACGCUUCACUGGUACUAAUUCCAGCAAUAGGUUCGACCCCCGCAUCGGGCU